CUGGCGGCGUGCUUAACACAUGCAAGUCGAACGAUGAUCCUCAGCUUGCUGGGGGGAUUAGUGGCGAACGGGUGAGUAACACGUGAGUAACCUGCCCUUGACUCUGGGAUAAGCCUGGGAAACCGGGUCUAAUACUGGAUAUGACCUUCUGGCGCAUGCCAUGUUGGUGGAAAGCUUUAUUGCGGUUUUGGAUGGACUCGCGGCCUAUCAGCUUGUUGGUGGGGUAAUGGCCUACCAAGGCGACGACGGGUAGCCGGCCUGAGAGGGUGGACGGCCACACUGGGACUGAGACACGGCCCAGACUCCUACGGGAGGCAGCAGUGGGGAAUAUUGCACAAUGGGCGCAAGCCUGAUGCAGCGACGCCGCGUGGGGGAUGAAGGCCUUCGGGUUGUAAACCUCUUUCAGUAGGGAAGAAGCGAAAGUGACGGUACCUGCAGAAGAAGCGCCGGCUAACUACGUGCCAGCAGCCGCGGUAAUACGUAGGGCGCAAGCGUUAUCCGGAAUUAUUGGGCGUAAAGAGCUCGUAGGCGGUUUGUCGCGUCUGCCGUGAAAGUCCGGGGCUUAACUCCGGAUCUGCGGUGGGUACGGGCAGACUAGAGUGAUGUAGGGGAGACUGGAAUUCCUGGUGUAGCGGUGAAAUGCGCAGAUAUCAGGAGGAACACCGAUGGCGAAGGCAGGUCUCUGGGCAUUAACUGACGCUGA
Molecule: ribosomal RNA, 703 nt
Filed under: Arthrobacter sp. CAL602
Lineage: Bacteria; Bacillati; Actinomycetota; Actinomycetes; Micrococcales; Micrococcaceae
Description: bacterial SSU rRNA
Rfam family: Bacterial small subunit ribosomal RNA
Source: RNAcentral